Molecule: ribosomal RNA, 301 nt
Filed under: uncultured bacterium
Lineage: Bacteria
Description: partial 16S ribosomal RNA
Rfam family: Bacterial small subunit ribosomal RNA
Source: RNAcentral
CAGCCGCCGCGGUAAUACGGAGGGUGCAAGCGUUAAUCGGAAUUACUGGGCGUAAAGCGUGCGUAGGCGGUUCGUUAAGUCUGUUGUGAAAGCCCCGGGCUCAACCUGGGAAUGGCAAUGGAUACUGGCGAGCUAGAGUGUGUCAGAGGGUGGUGGGAUUCCCGGUGUAGCGGUGAAAUGCGUAGAGAUCGGGAGGAACAUCAGUGGCAAAGGCUGCCAUCUGGGACAACACUGACGCUGAGGCACGGAAGCGUGGGGAGCAAACAGGAUUAGAUACCCCAGUAGUCCCUGUCUCUUAUAC